CGGCUGGGGAGAACGGCGGGGGUUGUGCUUGCUUGGCCACAGAAUAUAUACCUGCUCCGCAAAGGUUCACCUUCCAACACCGUAGCCAGAUGCAGAGUUAAUUGAGAACAACCGUCAUCCACAGUGAAAAUGUCCGUACACCUGAUUUAGACUGAAAUCAGUAUGUGUUCUUCAUACUUCAAAAGCGACAUCCCACCUUUCUGUAAUGUGCAGGCAACUGACUCCACCACUUUCAUUUGGACGACUAUAAAUUCGAGGCACUUCUGGAAGUUGGCAUCUCAUUUGAUUGUAGACUCAGCACAAAGCUAAGCUCAACCUCAGACUUGACCAGUCAAGGGAGGCACUGUAACCUAGUGUUUUUUGUUUGAUUUGCAUCACCAAGUGCUAUUUCUGCUGUCGCUAGCACCAUUACUAAAAAGGGUGACCCAGUUUGCACUCCAAAAUUUAUUUUGGAUCUCAUGGCAUGUCUCACUCAACCACAACACAAAAAAAAGAAAACAAAAUAAAACUUUUUUUUGGUUCUUUCCCUUUUUUCGUUUAAUGUCACCUGACAGUCUGGGCUAACAUCCCCUGGUCUUCUACUCAUUUCUCAUGACUUCCCAGUUAUUUUAGUGCUUAUGGAGUAAUCUGGGCCUUCCUUUCAAAUACAUGGCAUAUCGUUCCCUGGAAGACUGGUACUUGGAUAGACUUUGCAUUUAUCAAUGUGUACUCAUCUUCUAAAGUACAAAAGUAUACUAACUUACAUAUAUCACUUUGGCCUCUGGCAGCCUAUUAAGGAAUCUAUAAAAGUAGUUAUUUUGUAAGGGAAAUACGUAUAUUGUUUGAAGUUACUACUACUGCCUUUCAACUUCAGAAUCCCAAAGUGAAAUCACAGUCUAGUUUGCAGCUUUUGUACUCUCUUCCUCAUGUCCAUAUAUCUUAAAAUGUAGAAUAAAUUGUAUAUGAAGCAAUUAAGUGGUGAAUGUAAAACCACAGUUUCAAAUUCAGCAGGAUAAUGCAAAAAACAAUAAGAACAAGGUUGAUUAUGUAACAAUGCCCCAUUGAAAAUUAAUAUUGGGAAAUGAGCAGUAGGAAUAAAAUGAGAAAUGCAUCAGCUCGUAACCAAUGGAAGUAGAAGAAGAGAAAGAAAAAAUAAACAUGCAUUUUUAUCAUUUAUAAUUAGAAAAAUUGCCACCACACCCUGGCUCAAUACUUGACACUUGCCAGCUCUGACAACCAGCCAGUCAUUGACUAGUUUCAAAAGUAAGUCACUUGGAGACAAUUGAAGGGCUUGUGCAUUUCAGUGUAAGCUAAAGUAGUUUGUACCUUACUAUGUGAAAUAGGACCACUGAAUCUUUCCACUGGUGUUCUGCAUUUUGAGUUCUAGACAGUUGCUUCUAGUUGACAAGUAAUCCAGCAUUAAAAACCAAGACAAGGAUACAGUAGUUUAUUUCUUAAAUACAAUACUUGACCAAAAUGAUCCUAGUAAGUUAUUUAAUGGUCUUUUAGCAGCAAGAACAAAGUGGUAAUACAACCAGUUCUUCUUAGCUCUUUUUCUCAGUAGUGAUUAGGUUUAGAUUAGUCACCACCUACAUUGUGUACGUAACUAAGAACAUGUACCCUUUCAAGACAAAAACUAGUCUGUGGGUCACUCAAUUUUGGUUACUCUGUUAAAGAAGUUGUUUCUCUACUCUGAGUCAAUGUGAAUCAAAAAAGCCUUUACAAUGUGAGAAGGAGUGGAAUUAAAAUAUCUCCUGAAUAGGCCUCUUGUCUGAAGGUCACCAAAAUACUUUACUAAAAAUGAGGAGAUUAAAUAAUUAUGGAUAUUGCCCCCAAAGUGGACUACCUUUUAUAAAAAUUUUAAAAAAUCAAGAACAAUUGAUUAAAGAAAUGUUCUCCUCCACAGAUUUUGUCUCUGGGCUAAAUGAUGUAUUUUUUCUUGCUCACAGCAGUAAUCUAUGCAAAUAAAAUUCUACGGUCUGAUCUUUUGUCACAUGGUAAUCUGGCAUGAACACAUUUCCGGAAUUCUUUAUUCUUACAGAAUUGUGUUACACAGGUCUGUCAGCUGUUCAGUCUUCACUGCCAUCUACAUUUACGACUCCUCUCCACUCCAUAUACCAGGUCCAGCAUUGCCAUAACUAUUCCCCUGCCAGAACACAAAAUCUAACUAUUCCUUCUGACACCUUUACCUUUCUAUCCCAGUUCCUGUAUGGAGCCACCUUUGCUCCAAGUUGGCAAAUGAUGGUUGUAAAUUCCAAUUUUCAAACAAUGUUAUUGAUUCUCAGUCAGAUUUAGAUUAGGGCUUUGACUGGGGCAUUGGAGGACAUUCAUUCUUUUUUGUAUUUGAGCCACCCUAAAGUUACUUUAACAUCACAAAAACAAACCAUUAUUAAUAUUUAAGUAGAAUUUGCUAUUAGGCAGUUAUAGUUUUAACUGUUGCAUUGAAUUCUGAGUCUGUCUUUUUCCAUCAGAACUGAAUAUUUACAUCAGAUAUCCUUUGAAUGAGCAAAUGCUUAAAUACUUUAUAUUACAAGACUAGUUUACACUACAAUGAAAAAGGGCUGAAAAAAAAAACAAGAAUAUUAUUUAGUCUCUGGAACAACCUAACUGUCUUGCAGGAAGGUUCUCCCUAUUAAUUUAUAAUCAGUGAUCUAAGGUACAACAAGUUGCAGAAAGUAAAAAUAAUUUUUUCAAAAAAAGGGCAAUUGAAAUAAUGAAAAAGUUAAACAUGCUGGGUUCAAAGGGGAAUCAGAUUUUAUGUGGUAUAAAUAAGGUGGCCAAGCUGGUGGCAGGGCUAUGCAGACCUGGGAAUGAAGUGUAACCAAUCUUACUGGCUCUGGGGCUUAUCAAGGCCAAAAGCAAGAUGGGUGGAGUUGUCUCUCUGGUGGCUAUUGGAGGAAAAGUAGGAGUGAGGAUUAAGUUGCAGCAUAAUGAUGCAACCAGUUAGACUGUUUACCUGUGAACUAUUGCAGAGUAGUUUUCUGCCAUCAGGGCCUAGAAGUACUUAUAAAAUUUCUCUAACCCCUCUAACAAGAAGCAAUGCAUAAAUACAUGUAAAGACAUAAAAAGUAACAAAUGUGUUAUGGAAAUCUUUUUAAAAGGAAGGAAUACCCUAGAGAUGAACAUGCAGGAGUUAAGUAUUACUGUAAUUUAAACCCUGAAUUAGACUAUAGUGAAUUAGAAAAUAACAUUCAAAAAGGUACAAUACAAUGCAUCAAAAGUUCUCUGAGAAUCUGAUUAAGCAACCUAUUAAAUAUGUCAUUGCUUUUAAUGUAGAAGCAUCCUGAAUUAAAUUUUUUACAGUAAAUAAUUUGUAUGUCUGUAUGCAAGUGGGAUACUGUAGAUGAAAGGGGUGAUCUGAAUAUUUUUAUGCUAUAGAAAAAAAAAAAAACCUAAACACUAUAUAAUUAACCCUGGCUAACUUUGGUAACAUGCAAAUAUCAUACAGAAAAGCAUAUUUUCUCAGAAUUAAAUCAGUAAUCCAAAUUGUUACUCCUGCUACCUACCCUUCUUAAGUAAAAUUCUAAAGAAGGCAGUCAUUAUGCAGUUAAAUGACCACCUCAAUAAACAUGCUAUUCUUGAUACUU
This is a long non-coding RNA of Polypterus senegalus (gray bichir), 3566 nucleotides long. RefSeq lists it as uncharacterized. NCBI's taxonomy places the organism in Eukaryota, Metazoa, Chordata, Cladistia, Polypteriformes, Polypteridae. The record is from RefSeq and is a predicted model, not a curated record. The transcript is spliced from 3 exons.